ACCAGACUCCUACGGGAGGCAGCAGUGGGGAAUAUUGCACAAUGGGGGAAACCCUGAUGCAGCGACGCCGCGUGAGCGAGGAAGUAUUUCGGUAUGUAAAGCUCUGUCAGCAGGGAAGAAGAAUGACGGUACCUGAAGAAGAAGCACCGGCUAAAUACGUGCCAGCAGCCGCGGUAAUACGUAUGGUGCAAGCGUUAUCCGGAUUUACUGGGUGUAAAGGGAGCGCAGGCGGUUCUGCAAGUCUGAUGUGAAAGCCCGGGGCUCAACCGCGGGACUGCAUUGGAAACUGCGGGACUGGAGUGUCGGAGGGGUAAGCGGAAUUCCUGGUGUAGCGGUGAAAUGCGUAGAUAUCAGGAGGAACACCGGUGGCGAAGGCGGCUUACUGGACGAUGACUGACGCUGAGGCUCGAAAGCGUGGGGAGCAAACAGGAUUAGAUACCCGUGUAA
Molecule: ribosomal RNA, 447 nt
Filed under: uncultured bacterium
Lineage: Bacteria
Description: partial 16S ribosomal RNA
Rfam family: Bacterial small subunit ribosomal RNA
Source: RNAcentral